AUUGAACGCUGGCGGCAUGCUUUACACAUGCAAGUCGAACGGCAGCACGGGUGCUUGCACCUGGUGGCGAGUGGCGGACGGGUGAGUAAUACAUCGGAACGUAUCCAGAAGAGGGGGAUAACGCAUCGAAAGAUGUGCUAAUACCGCAUAUUCUCUGAGGAGGAAAGCAGGGGAUCGCAAGACCUUGCGCUUUUGGAGCGGCCGAUGUCUGAUUAGCUAGUUGGUGGGGUAAAGGCCUACCAAGGCGACGAUCAGUAGCUGGUCUGAGAGGAUGAUCAGCCACACUGGGACUGAGACACGGCCCAGACUCCUGCGGGAGCAGCAGUGGGAAUAUUGGACAAUGGGCGAAAGCCUGAUCCAGCAAUGCCGCGUGUGUGAAGAAGGCCUGCGGGUUGUAAAGCACUUUCAAUAGUGAAGAAGGAUUUGUGUCGAAUAGACAUGGAGACAGACUAA
RNAcentral lists this ribosomal RNA (453 nucleotides) under uncultured bacterium. Its description in RNAcentral is "bacterial SSU rRNA". It matches the Rfam family "Bacterial small subunit ribosomal RNA", at positions 30 to 482 of the family's 1533-position model. The record is from RNAcentral.